Molecule: small nuclear RNA, 107 nt
Organism: Balaenoptera musculus (blue whale)
Lineage: Eukaryota; Metazoa; Chordata; Mammalia; Artiodactyla; Balaenopteridae
Source: Ensembl
GUGCUUACUUUGACAGCAUAUAUACUAAAAUUGGAAUGAUACAGAGAAGAUUAGCAUGGCCCCUGUGUGAGGAUGACAUGUAAAUUUGUGAAGCAUUCCAUAUUUUU